CCCAAGAAUUGAAAGUAAGGACUCAAACAGAUACUUGGACUCUGUUCAGAGCAACAUUAUUCACAACAGCCAAAGAUAGAAACAACCUAAGCAUCCCUCAACAAAUGAGUGAAUUUUAAAAAAUGAUUUUAUUUAUUUAUUCAUGAAAGACACAGAGAGAGACACAGGCAGAGGGAGAAGCAGGCUCCAUGCCAGGAGCCCGAUGUGGGACUCGAUCCUAGGUCUCCAAGAUUACGCCCUGGACCGAAGGCAUGAGCCAAACCACUGAGCCACUCAGGGAUUCCCCCAGAAAGUCUUUUCAACAAAAGAUUCUGUAGCACCAGGCACAUGCACUCUUAUAUACUGAAAUCCUGAAAGAAAACAAAGGUAAGCUAAAUUUGAUUUUAGAUUUAGCUAUCCAUUUUCAGUCCUUUAAAAUUAAUCUAAUUCAAAGUAUAAUUCAAUUUUGCAUAUGGGUUCAGAGCAGUUCAAU
Molecule: long non-coding RNA, 472 nt
Organism: Nyctereutes procyonoides (raccoon dog)
Lineage: Eukaryota; Metazoa; Chordata; Mammalia; Carnivora; Canidae
Exons: 3
Source: RefSeq, a predicted model, not a curated record